AGCCAUCAGGAAUAGGGGGACUUUUGCU
This 28-nucleotide non-coding RNA is filed under the name Cricetulus griseus (Chinese hamster). Lineage: Eukaryota; Metazoa; Chordata; Mammalia; Rodentia; Cricetidae. The record is from RNAcentral.